GCCAGACUCCUACGGGAGGCAGCAGUGGGGGAUAUUGCACAAUGGGGGGAACCCUGAUGCAGCGACGCCGCGUGGGUGAAGGAGUGCUUCGGCAUGUAAAGCCCUAUCGGCAGGGAAGAAGCAAGACGGUACCUGACUAAGAAGCCCCGGCUAACUACGUGCCAGCAGCCGCGGUAAUACGUAGGGGGCGAGCGUUAUCCGGAUUCACUGGGUGUAAAGGGAGCGUAGACGGCCAAGCAAGCCAGGGGUGAAAGCCCGGGGCCCAACCCCGGGACUGCAUUUGGAACUGUGUGGCUGGAGUGUCGGAGAGGCAGGCGGAAUUCCUAGUGUAGCGGUGAAAUGCGUAGAUAUUAGGAGGAACACCAGUGGCGAAGGCGGCCUGCUGGACGAUGACUGACGUUGAGGCUCGAAAGCGUGGGGAGCAAACAGGAUUAGAUACCCCCGUACAA
This 449-nucleotide ribosomal RNA is filed under the name uncultured bacterium. RNAcentral describes it as "bacterial SSU rRNA". It matches the Rfam family "Bacterial small subunit ribosomal RNA", at positions 330 to 794 of the family's 1533-position model. The record is from RNAcentral.